AUUCAACCAAAGCACUUUCCUUAGAAGCUUCAUCCCUUGCUGAAUUUUAGCGGCGAUUGGUCGUUGCUGUUGCCCUAGGAUAAUGGAAUAAGUUUUGUCGGUGCACAUCAUAAAAUUAAAAGAAAUUGUUCAACGACCAGUCAAGAAAUUUAUGUUGUUCAAUCAUGAAUAAUUAAGCAUGUAUUCCUUAAUUUUUAAAAUCCUUUGUAUAGAAAGAAUUCAUCUUCCGACAUUUUCGCUGGAGUUGUUUUGUUGUUCUGAUCCCUCGAAAAAUACUUUUCUUGGGAAAGAAAUCCUCAUAUCACGAAUUUCGAGGGGAAAUAAAAAGUGGGAAUGUAGCAACAUUAAAAUCAGCUGUUUGACGUUUUAGCACUUUGUUUUCCCUUCCAUACUAAAUUUGCAUUUAUAUAACUUUUAUUGAUUUUUACGGUUAAGUGUGAAGUGUUCAAAAUAAUUAAAGUAUUUAAAAAAAGAAAAUGAACAGCAUUGCAAUACGCAUUUAUUUGGAGAAGGAGCAUUAAAAAAAAAAAUACUAUCGAGUAAACAAGCCAGCACUAAUUUAUUUGUUGGAAGUGGUCUCCAAAAACUACCCACAGAAGAAAAAAUAAUUUGGAAUUUUUCCAAUAAUAAUGCUAAGCGCUGCAUUGCGUUUCUUCGCAGAAGGAGGGUAUAAGAUGGGCAUUGGAAAGGACUGCGACAUCGGGCUUGCACAAUCUACUCUAUGCAAGUUUCUUGGUAAAUAUACUUGAGGCUCACUUGUGUGCAAAAUGGAUCCGAGUACCGAAGACUAUCGAGAGAAACUGACUAUUGCUUUGGAAUUCUACAAAAAACAUAGAAUUUCUGGUGUUGUUGGGUGCAUUGAUGGGACCCACGUGCAAAUUAUUGCGCCAACCGACAACAAGCAUCUUUUCUAUAAUAGAAAGUUCAGCAUGAAUGUACUACUAUGACCAUGAACUUUAAAUACGAUAUGUCCACGCUUCACAUCCUGGGGCUUGCCACGAGUCCUUCGUGUGGAACACGAGCUAUUUAAGAAUAUUUUUGUGAAGAAGAAUACUUACAGGGCGAAACUAACUUUUGGCUGCUAGGUGAUGGAUACCCUCUUGAGCCUUGGCUUCUUUCACAAGAAAUGACAUUCAACAGCGUUCAUACAAAGUGUCGGAACAUUGUUGAAACAACUAUCGGAGUUUAAAAGAAUCCUUUCCUGCACUUUCUCCUAAAAGUCAUAUUCGCCUUGUUUCACUAUUAUGCUCAUAUGAAACUUCACUUACGCUCAUAUGAAACUUCACGCUCUCGUUGAGAUCACGCGCAAAGACAAAGUCUCGUUUCUUAGAAACUCACACACUUUACAAUUAAACCAAUCAAAAUACAUGAACACCCUCCACCAUUCUAUAGAGAGUAUAUUAGCUUUGUUAUCCUGUUUUAUACUGCUCAUAAUGGACCUCACAAAUAUGCUGCUGUUAUCACGACACUUGUGCUAAGCUACAAGUCACUCCCAUAGCCGAAUGUAACAACUGAAGCUUGAGUUCGCUGGUCUGAUGUUUGUGUAUCAGCGAGACAGUAGGGUGGUUCGACUAAACGGUGUUAACUCCUCCCUUGCUCAUCAAUGAUAACUUGAAGUUCAUGCUGGCGGCGAGCCUUCUGACGUCUCUGAUAACGUUUGAGGAAGGUAUAAUAAGUGAACAUGAAGGCUAUUAGUAGUUCUUCAGUGUCACCAUUAUAUCGCAAGUUCUGCAAGCUUAAUGCUAGGAACACAAUUGGAGCGAACGACGAAUUUCGCCCUACGCGGCGACAAAAUGAGCCGCGAAAAUUCGUCGUAUGGAACACAAUACCGACGAAAUUAUAAAACAGCUGAUGAAGUUGUUUACUUUUUGCUCAUUUGUUGACUUCAAUGAAAAUUAUACAAGAACUCAUAAUUUAUAAUUUCAGUUAUGUCCAUCUUCUCUAUUAUAAAUUCACUGAUAUCCAUCUUCACUCAGGCGCAAGUGCACAAAUAAAUAAACAAAUUAUUUAUGUUUUUUUAUACGAAUAACAGAUAGUAGAGUGACCAUAACAAAUUUUUAAGUAAAAAGUAACUUUAUUUA
This is a long non-coding RNA of Musca domestica (house fly), 2081 nucleotides long. RefSeq lists it as uncharacterized. Lineage: Eukaryota; Metazoa; Arthropoda; Insecta; Diptera; Muscidae. The transcript is spliced from 5 exons. The record is from RefSeq and is a predicted model, not a curated record.